RNA transcript from Motacilla alba alba, 1742 nucleotides. RefSeq lists it as uncharacterized. The record is from RefSeq and is a predicted model, not a curated record. NCBI's taxonomy places the organism in Eukaryota, Metazoa, Chordata, Aves, Passeriformes, Motacillidae. The transcript is spliced from 3 exons.
CGCCGUGCGCGCCCCUUGGGCUGUGGUGGCGGCCGGCGGGGCCAUGGCGGGCGCUGCGGUUCGGCCCCGGUGCCGCGGCCGUGUCCGCGCUGUGAGGGGCGGCCGGAGCCUGCCCGCCCGUGUGACCGCGGCUGGCAGAGGGGCCGGGGUCCCCCGCGCCUUCCGGGCUGCGCUGUGCGCUUGGGGAGACCUUUGGAUGCGUGCGGGGAGGGGCGAGGCGUUGUGGAGCUCGGCGCAGGGUGAGUCCGAGCUCUCCCGCCUCGGGGCUCCCGGCCGGGGGCAGGAGCAGCCGUGCCGGGGCUGUGCCGGCAGCUCAGGGCUGCCCCGGCCCGGGGCCUCUCCCGCGGGAGAGUGUGGCAUGGUAGAGUAGGGAGCCAGGCGGUGCUCUGGAGCUUGGAACCCACACAGGUGUUUCCCAAUCAUAUUGGCAGAGACUCAGCUGCGGGGGAGCUGCAGAGAAGGCUGUCUCCCCCGACUGGGGUCUCGCAGAGGAUGGGGCAGUGGCAGCCACCGGGUCGUUCCCGUGAGAUUUGGCAAGUCCGCGGGAGGGUUUCCUGACUGUCCCUGUCUCCGAGCCGGCUGUGCCUUGUCCGGAGGCCCUGCCCGGGCAGCCCGGCUCGGCGCAGCUGGGUCCCUGCUCCCAGGCUCGCCGGAGGGAGGCAGAGCCACCAGAGCGUGGGUCGGGCUGGAAGGGGGCAGGUGGGGCCUGCAGCCAGGCAGGGGCAGGGAGAGGAGGCCAAGCCUCUACACCAGCCCAGGAGAAGCUUCUGAGAGGCACCGGGGGCUUUGUUUGCCCAGAAAGCUGCGGCUAUCGGGGAUGACCCGGCCCCUGCAGCACUGUGAGAAAAGAGGCAGGUAAGGGCUCACAGGGGUCAGCUGCAGUCCUUAGAAGCAGGGUCUGCUUCCACCACUGCGCUUUGCUGCCUGCAGGGACCUCUGGUGUGCACUGGGAGCUCCUGCUGGGGCAAGAGUUUUGUCUUGCAAGAGGCAAAGCUGCAGCCUCUUCCUCAGCAGGGACUGUCUCCAUGCAGGAAACAGCACAGGGCACUGGCCGAGGGGCUCAGCCUGGGAUGUGGCCCCAGCAGGAGCAGCCCUGGGCACACUGACACAGCAGGAUGAGCCAGGUGAGGAGCACGGCCCAGCACAGCACCGAGAGAGGCUGGCACGGGAGGGUGAGCCCAGAGAAGGAGACGCUGCUGCCCCACGUCCCCAGGAGAGCCCCUGCCUCGCUUCUGCUCUCGGGGAUGGCACUGGGAGACACCUCCACGCAGAGAGUGGCACCUGGCCUGGCUUCACUCCCCGAGGGAAGAGGCUGGGCUUCCUGCUGCUCAGAGCUCCUGAUUAGGGACAUCCACGCCUGCGCCUGGCUGGGAAUCCGGGGUGCACCGGUACCAGAUCCAGCCACGAGACAUCCCUGCUGCAGCUGCAGGGGUUAGGCAGUCCAGCUUGCUGAACCUCCAGCUCUGGCUGUGGCGUGUUCUUCAUUCCAGCUCUGGAACUGAGAUGCUCCAGUUGAUGGCUGCUCCAGUUCCUGCUGCUUUUUGUUACAAGCCAAUUUAAACUCCAGCUAAUUGCAGUUACCUGGGCUUUUGGCCAAGUUGUAAAUCACUCACUGUCAUCAAUGACAUACAACUAUUAACUUUGUUAUAACUAUUAACUAUUUAUUGUCAUUAAGUUAUUGUUUAAAUAGAAGUCAUAACUGCUGCAGUGGUUGUGCACAAUAAACAGUUGGAUGUGGAAAA